RNAcentral lists this long non-coding RNA (187 nucleotides) under Chloebia gouldiae (Gouldian finch). RNAcentral's name for it is "Erythrura gouldiae (Gouldian finch) lncRNA (ENSEGOG00005006294.1)". The record is from RNAcentral. Lineage: Eukaryota; Metazoa; Chordata; Aves; Passeriformes; Passeridae.
CUCGGGGCUGCUUGGAGUGUGUGUGAAAAUGGGCUUGCUUCUGGAUUUUGUGCCAUUUGCUCCCCUGCUUCCUCACAUCUCUGGAGUGCUGGGCUGGCUAAAUGUGGAUGAAGAGCCCAGGGGGGAAGGCUCCGAACCAGCCGAGUCCCUCAGCCUGCGAUGGAGGUGGCACCCACAGAGAGACUGG